AGUAAGUAUCAAAGAUACAGCUGCUUCCCCACUUAAGCAGCAGCCAAUAAAGAGCCCAUAGUGACAGUUUUCCUGUCUGGCCACUGUUCUGUGGUCUGUAACUGAUGUAUGACAUUUUGGGACAACUCAGCU
Small nucleolar RNA from Hippopotamus amphibius kiboko, 132 nucleotides. The record is from RefSeq and is a predicted model, not a curated record. Lineage: Eukaryota; Metazoa; Chordata; Mammalia; Artiodactyla; Hippopotamidae.